AAAGAAGGAAAGAAAAGAAAGAAAAGCAAGCAAGCAAGCAAGCAAGCAGCCAAAGCCCUGGGAACCCAUCGAGGAAUGGCCCUGGAGGCAGAGUUACCCUCAGCCACAGGCCAGAGAUCAAACAUCGCUGAACCAGUGUGAGGAAAAGAAUGGCAGGCAGACGUCUUCUUUUUCCGCACACAGACUGUAAUCAGCUCUCCACAAGGUCAUCCCAGAACACCAAGGACAGUCCAGAUACCUCCUGGCUCUCCUCAGUAAUGGACAGAAGCAGUGGUGCAGAUAAUAUGCCCAAAUGGCGGGCUCCAGUUCUCCCUGGGUUCCAGGAACACCAUCUCCUUCCUCGUUCCUUCUGUCCCAGGGAAGGUUUACACUGAAAAUUUUUUGUGAUGAAAAGAUUUGAAGAAGACGACAGGAGACGGAGAAGCACCAGCUGAUCUGCAGACUCCGAGGAGGUCCCAGGAAGAGGUGUCAUCCACUGAGAUCUUCUGGGACAGGAAAGCCCUGUGAUACCUCUU
Molecule: long non-coding RNA, 515 nt
Filed under: Pongo abelii (Sumatran orangutan)
Lineage: Eukaryota; Metazoa; Chordata; Mammalia; Primates; Hominidae
Description: lincRNA
Source: RNAcentral